ACGAACGCUGGCGGCGUGCUUCACACAUGCAAGUCGAACGGUGAAGGGGUCUGCUUUUGUGGGCCCUGGAUGAGUGGCGAACGGGUGAGUAACACGUGAGUAACCUGCCCCCUUCUUCUGGAUAACCGCAUGAAAGUGUGGCUAAUACGGGAUAUUCUGGGUCUGUCGCAUGAUGGGUCCGGGAAAGAUUGCGCCUUUGGGUGUUUUUGGUGGGGGAUGGGCUCGCGGCCUAUCAGCUUGUUGGUGGGGUGAUGGCCUACCAAGGCGGUGACGGGUAGCCGGGCUGAGAGGGUGGACGGUCACACUGGGACUGAGACACGGCCCAGACUCCUACGGGAGGCAGCAGUGGGGAAUAUUGCAAAAUGGGCGCAAGCCUGAUGCAGCGACGCCGCGUGAGGGAGGGAGGCCUUCGGGUUGUAAACCUCUUUCGCCAGUGAAGCAGGCCUGCUCCUUGUGGGUGGGUUGACGGUAGCUGGAGAAGAAGCGCCGGCUAACUACGUG
Molecule: ribosomal RNA, 501 nt
Filed under: uncultured bacterium
Lineage: Bacteria
Description: partial 16S ribosomal RNA
Rfam family: Bacterial small subunit ribosomal RNA
Source: RNAcentral